This 253-nucleotide ribosomal RNA is filed under the name uncultured bacterium. Its description in RNAcentral is "partial 16S ribosomal RNA". It matches the Rfam family "Bacterial small subunit ribosomal RNA", at positions 524 to 776 of the family's 1533-position model. The record is from RNAcentral.
UACAGAGGGUGCAAACGUUGCUCGGAAUUAUUGGGCGUAAAGCGCACGUAGGUGGCCAUGUAAGUCAGGAGUGAAAGCCCUCGGCUUAACCGGGGAAGUGCUUUUGAAACUGCAUGGCUUGAAUACUGGAGAGGGUCGCGGAAUUCCCGGUGUAGAGGUGAAAUUCGUAGAUAUCGGGAGGAAAACCAGUGGCGAAGGCGGCGACCUGGACAGAUAUUGACACUGAGGUGCGAAAGCGUGGGGAGCAAACAGG